AUGCUCUUUGCUCAUACCACCACCUUCUCUGUGCAUAUCUUAACUUUUUAUUGUAUUCACAUAAUUUCAUUUUAUCUUAUUAGCGCCCUCUCUAUCUGUAUAGCAUUUGCCAUGGCCUCAGGCUCGUCUUGGACUCCCAAGCAAAACAAAUUGUUUGAGAAUGCUUUGGCCAUCUAUGACAAGGACACCCCUGAUCGCUGGCACAAUCUAGCCAGGGCUGUGGGUGGCAAAACCGUGGAGGAAGUGAAGAGGCAUUAUGAGUUGCUGGUUGAAGAUGUGAGGCAGAUUGAAGCUGGCCAAGUUCCCUUGCCUAAUUACAGAAAAGCUGGCAAUAACUACAUGGAUGAAGAACAAAGAUAUUGACGAAAAGUGUAUGCGGAAGAAGAGGCCAGAACAAUUGGUAGUGGCUCUUGCCCAGGCUAAGGCUGAUGCCAUCAUAGCUGAGUUAUAAGCUGAUAAAAAUCAAGAGAAAGGUGCUCAACUGACUAUUUUGAUUGCAGCUGACACACUAUAUCUUGAUUCCUUCUUCUUCAUUGCGAAGCUUAUGGUGUGGAAAUCAGGUGCAUCUAGUCUCACGACUAGUGCAAAAUAUGGUCUGAGAAUACAAGUCUUCUGCUAGGAGAAAACUAUUUUGUUUAAGCUACUACACCAUGAAUCUUCCAGGCCAUUGGAUUGAAGUGUGAGAUAUAAAGGGGCAGCUUUGGUGAAACUUUGCCCUGAAAAAGGAAAACCCAAUUAAUUGAACUUCUUUGUUAGCAGGGAUAGAUGCAUGUCAAAUUAUCAAUCUAGGCCUAUGUUUCGAUUGUUCAACUUUGCUAUGACAAAGUUGUAGUUCAUGCUGAAAAAGUCAUCUCGAUGUUUUGUUGUUUAUUGUCCUCUCUGCUAUUAUUGAUGGUAACUUGGUAUUUUCAUCUUUAUUUUUUUAAUCCAAUGUUACCUCAA
RNA transcript from Hevea brasiliensis (rubber tree), 942 nucleotides. It is a transcript of the gene named protein RADIALIS-like 3, with no coding region annotated. The record is from RefSeq and is a predicted model, not a curated record. The transcript is spliced from 3 exons. NCBI's taxonomy places the organism in Eukaryota, Viridiplantae, Streptophyta, Magnoliopsida, Malpighiales, Euphorbiaceae.